CUGUCUCAAAUUUAUUCCCCCCCCCCAAAAAAAAUAAAUCAUUCUUGAUCUAAAGUAAAUGCGAUUGAAA
Molecule: transfer RNA, 70 nt
Filed under: Xenophrys serchhipii
Lineage: Eukaryota; Metazoa; Chordata; Amphibia; Anura; Megophryidae
Description: tRNA-Val
Source: RNAcentral